UGAGUUCUGUCUCCAAAUUUGUUCUCUGCAUAUACGAAAGUGUUUAUGAAACAUGCAUGGAGGCGAUAUUGCUGAUAAAAAUCGAGCAUUUGAUCAGUAUGCUGAAGAACGGUGACAACGAUGAUGACGUUAUCUAUGAUUAUGCUCCAGCAGCAUGAGUGGAUUAUAUCUUUGUUAGACCAAAAAGAUUUUGUCUGUGAAC
This 202-nucleotide long non-coding RNA is filed under the name Eutrema salsugineum. RNAcentral's name for it is "long non-coding RNA (ESAL_LNC000325)". Lineage: Eukaryota; Viridiplantae; Streptophyta; Magnoliopsida; Brassicales; Brassicaceae. The record is from RNAcentral.